Cucurbita pepo subsp. pepo (vegetable marrow) is the source of this 484-nucleotide non-coding RNA. Lineage: Eukaryota; Viridiplantae; Streptophyta; Magnoliopsida; Cucurbitales; Cucurbitaceae. The record is from RefSeq and is a predicted model, not a curated record.
AAGGAAGUUAAGUAAAAACCAGAACAAUGUGAGAAACAGAUAAAUUGCCAUGAUUUCGAGAUCGAAGAACUAACGAGAAGAAGAAGUCCCGGAAUGUAAUCAACUUGGACAGGUAAAGAGAUUGCAGCCAUACAUAAACAUGUGCAGGCUUAGCAAUGCAAACAUACUGAAAACAGGAUACACAACAUCCAUGUAAGAAACUUCAUUUGGACCAGAGAAGACGCCAGACAAAUGAGCCAACGUUGCGUAUACAAUGAACAACGACACGAAGCAACCCGUAAACAACCCUGAAACCAACCAACAAUUCGAGAGCUCAAAAGGCAUACCUUAUCGGAGCUGAUAAAGGCCGACUUUUUCACUCCUUGAAGAUAGCUCGCCGACGCCUUUUGGUUCGCCACCUGUUCCCCAAAAACAGGUUAAGUAUCACAAAUUUUAUAAUUAUGUGAUGUCCCAUAUUAUUAGAAACACCCUUUAUGAGGUUGUG